GCCAGCCCUUAUAAGGUGUUCUAUUUCUACGACUCCGCGGGAUCCCCUCGACCACCGCUCCUCUUUCCUUCCUUCCUCGUGUGACUAGCUGCUUCUUCUUCUAGAUUGGACUACUUGUUCCUCUCGAUUCACCGUCAAUCCUUGCUCCUUUGUGGCUCUCGGGGCGGUAGGUGCUCUCACUCUUCUUCUUCUCCUCAUCCCUUCGUCAUCUCUCUCGGGUAGUAGCUAGGGUCUGCUGAUCUUUUUUUGUUGGCAGAUGGUGAUUCCUGUCUAAUUUGUGAAGCAAUAGCACUUCAAUUUGGCGGUUCUUGCUCCAGGCUUAGGUUAGAUCUUGCAGUUUGUGGUUGUUCGUAAUCUACACAGAGUGAAGAUGGGAGGCUGCGGCAACCGUUCACCUCUAUGCAAUUCGACCACGAAGAAGAAUACAACCAAGUUAGUCAGUUACAAUGUUGUUUCAUUGUCCAGCCAGCAAUUCUUUAUUUCAUUCGAAUGGAGAGAAAAUGUAUGUGAGCCGAAACUGAGAGCUAUCGUCUGUAUGCCCGAUGUAUUGUUAUGUAUGUACAAACUCAAAACUUGUAAUUCGUUCUGUAAGGCAAGAAUGUCAUUUGUAAUAGAGGAAGUUGCACAUUAUUUAUUUAGCAUGUUUGGAAA
Long non-coding RNA from Triticum dicoccoides, 651 nucleotides. RefSeq lists it as uncharacterized. The transcript is spliced from 3 exons. Lineage: Eukaryota; Viridiplantae; Streptophyta; Magnoliopsida; Poales; Poaceae. The record is from RefSeq and is a predicted model, not a curated record.